CUAAGUUAACCAAGAUGACGUCACUGAGGUUGGGCUUACCGCUGGAGGAAGGGCAUUCUGGGAGGUGAAGGGUUAAGGAGAAACCAAACUAAGACAUCAAGAUGAGAUCAUGCCACAAAUUAAAAUAAAUAAAAAAAAAAAUGUAAGGCCCAGACACAAAAUGAGUAAAGAGUCAAUAUAGAAAAUGAAACCAAUAUGAGUAACUGGUUGAGCAAGUCUGCAAAAAAUAAGAGGGGGAAAAAAAAAUCAAACCAUCAAAGGUCACACUUAACUGGGAUUUCUAGAUAUAUGAAGGUCAACCGCAUGUGUGAAAGCAGACUAAUUCAUUAAUCAUGAUGAACAAGUAAACUUCAGACUCCAUCUUUGUAGACACCAGAAAA
This is a long non-coding RNA of Carassius carassius (crucian carp), 380 nucleotides long. RefSeq lists it as uncharacterized. The record is from RefSeq and is a predicted model, not a curated record. NCBI's taxonomy places the organism in Eukaryota, Metazoa, Chordata, Actinopteri, Cypriniformes, Cyprinidae. The transcript has 2 exons.